AUUGAACGCUGGCGGCAGGCCUAACACAUGCAAGUCGAGCGGAUGAAGGGAGCUUGCUCCUGGAUUCAGCGGCGGACGGGUGAGUAAUGCCUAGGAAUCUGCCUGGUAGUGGGGGAUAACGUCCGGAAACGGGCGCUAAUACCGCAUACGUCCUGAGGGAGAAAGUGGGGGAUCUUCGGACCUCACGCUCUCAGAUGAGCCUAGGUCGGAUUAGCUAGUUGGUGGGGUAAAGGCCUACCAAGGCGACGAUCCGUAACUGGUCUGAGAGGAUGAUCAGUCACACGGGAACUGAGACACGGUCCAGACUCCUACGGGAGGCAGCAGUGGGGAAUAUUGGACAAUGGGCGAAAGCCUGAUCCAGCCAUGCCGCGUGUGUGAAGAAGGUCUUCGGAUUGUAAAGCACUUUAAGUUGGGAGGAAGGGCAGUAAGUUAAUACCUUGCUGUUUUGACGUUACCAACAGAAUAAGCACCGGCUAACUUCGUG
Molecule: ribosomal RNA, 484 nt
Filed under: uncultured bacterium
Lineage: Bacteria
Description: partial 16S ribosomal RNA
Rfam family: Bacterial small subunit ribosomal RNA
Source: RNAcentral